UACGUAGGGUGCGAGCGUUAAUCGGAAUUACUGGGCGUAAAGCGUGCGCAGGCGGUUUGCUAAGACAGGUGUGAAAUCCCCGGGCUUAACCUGGGAACUGCGCUUGUGACUGGCAGGCUAGAGUACGGCAGAGGGGGGUGGAAUUCCUGGUGUAGCAGUGAAAUGCGUAGAUAUCAGGAGGAACACCGAUGGCGAAGGCAGCCCCCUGGGCCUGUACUGACGCUCAUGCACGAAAGCGUGGGGAGCAAACAGGAUUAGAUACCCCGGUA
Molecule: ribosomal RNA, 269 nt
Filed under: uncultured prokaryote
Description: partial 16S ribosomal RNA
Rfam family: Bacterial small subunit ribosomal RNA
Source: RNAcentral